CCGAGACAGACAAUUUCUGCUAUCGUGCACUGUUUCGCUGGUUCAAGUUCCAGGGAGCGUCAACUCGCAACUGCUGGUGCUACCCCUUCUGGGUAAAGACCGAAGCCAAUUCCGCCUGGUACUCCUACCACGAAUACUACUCGGAGGCCUGUACUUGCUCGCGUGAGCUCUCAAUCAAACUUUUCCUCAAGCCGGUCUGUCUCCGAGCAGCAAUAUUAUAAUGGAAAGAAGACCCGGAUGUGGAUUGGGAGCUACUCCUCUGUGCAAUGAGCCGCCUCCAAAUUACUGUACCUUCUGUUCGUGCACAGCCACGCUCCUCCCUGUUGUCUUCACUGUCGCCAUGGCCCCGUCACUGCUGGGUUCCGAGCCGCCGCGCUCUACUUCGUGCGCUGCCUUGAGUCGCUGCUGCCGUUUCAAAUCGCCACUCAGCCCUGUUGAGCCGCCAUGCUCCGCCAUGGCCAAGCUGCCAUUACCGUUGCCGCUCGCCUCUGCCAUCGCGCCAAGUCGUCGGCUGUCGAUGUAGCCGCAACCAUGCUCAGAUUCGACUCUGCUGCUUCACCACUCAACUGCCUACUUGGCUCCGCCUUGCGCUGUCUGCGCCCCCGACUUGGUCGCGCUUCUGCAACCCGCCAUGUCGAUCUGCCCUUUGGUUCCUGCCUCGUUGCUCACCUCCACGACCUCUGUCAGGACCCACCGCCACUGUACCCAGCAUGUUGCCUUGACCCCCGCUUCUGUGUUACGCAUCCACCGGGUUGUGGUCAUUGUGAGCCACCGGGGUUGAGCCGUCCUACGAUCCGCCGAGUCCGAGUUGAAAGAAAUUUCGACUACGUCAUUACAAGUCCCAAGGAAUUCCAUAGCGACGAUGGCAGGCAAAACCGAAAAGCGUUUUGUUGUUGCUACUUUUUAUGGGAAGACAAGGGUCAACCAUCAUACCAGAAGAAAGUACUAGUCAAAGCUCAAUCAACCACGGGCUGAUGUCAUCGGCCGCCCGUGCUGCUGUUCCAAGCCAAGCUGCUACUCCACGCCACGUGAUCACCGUUCAUACACCCAGAAAAAAAAUUGUUGACGAGACGGAAUCAGAUUUGGCCACGACCCGGAAGACGCGGAUGUGAAUCCAUCCAAAACCAACCAUGACCCGUGGCUGGCCUCGUUCCACCUCCGGUUCGAAUCCGACUCCGCCGCUACCUCCAACGCCGGCCUCCGCUGGAACCACGGACAUGCUGUUCAGCAUGGACCUGACGGCCCUGUCCGUAUCCACUCUGAGCCGCCCCCGAUGACUGGCCAUGUCCGAGCUCGCGCUCACUUCAAGUCGCGAUGGUUUCGUGUUGCUCCUCCGUUUAGCCGCCGUCGCGCCCUCCACCGGCAACUGCGUCAGUCGCCUUCCGCGCUGCGGCCACAACCAUGACCUUCGCCUGCGGCGCCCCCUUGGAUUCCGCUCUGAGCACCUCCGCUUCCGCCGUCAGGCGUCGAGUCAGGGCCUCAGCCCGUGAGCCGCUGCCGGCCUAUGCUCACCUCUGCCUCAUACGGUUCGCAACCCGUUUGGUCGGAUCAGCCGUCGCUUUUCCCGGCCUCGAGCCGCCUCGUUCCACUGCUGUGAUCUGCCCCUGCCUUGGAGCCUCUCCGGGUUAAGGCGUCAAGUCGCCGAGCCUUCCGCCCCUUCCGCCGCAUGCCCGCAGCGCUCUCUGCUGUGUCAAGUCGUAGGGUUACCUCCGCGCCAAAUCACCGUUGCGGACGCCUCAAUUACCAAAUAUUCGGGUUAAUUGCUAUGGCCUCCGCGCUGCCUCCAAGUCGCUCGGAUCCACCUCCCGCUCCUCAGCUGCCGCACUCCAAGCUGGCCACGGUUGCCUCUGGGUUGCCCGAGAAUCGACCCGCCGUCAUCAUCGCGAGUCGCCAUCACCGACCCGAGCGACUUCUCAUCCACUGUCGCGGCUCCGCCACGGCCGUUCCGAGCUGCCGCCUCGCUUUCGAAGGUGCUUGAUUCCCCACAUGCCUCCGGGCUGGCCCGCCCCUCCGCCGCAGACUCACCGGGGCCCUCCGAGCCGCCAGCAGCUUCCGCUCAACCUCGCCUCGGUCUUGUGCGUCGGUUCAGCCGAGCCGCCGUCACGGCCCUUUGCCGGUUCAAGUUACUGCCGCGACAGCCCGCGCCCCCGCCUCGCUGUCGAGUCGCCUCCGCGGCGCUAAGUCGCCGCUCUGGCCAAGUUACUGCCCGCCUUCGACCCGGCCGCCUCCGAGUCACCACUGGCUUGAGCCGCGCGGGCCAAACCGGCCUCCCCCGUCGCCGUUGUGCCGUGGCUGUUUUUUUUUUGGGCGCCCAGUAGCAGCCCCAGCCUCCUCCGGUCCGGUUCACCCUGCAUGAAGCUGUGCCCGCUCACCUGAGCCGCCCCUGCCAGCCCUGUCGUUUCUCCUCAAGCCGGUGGCUACCUUUGAAGACGCGAGACCGUGCUGCCUCAAGCCGCCUCCGCAGAUGCUUUCACCGCCGCACCAAGCCGCCUCGCGGCACUUCGGCUCUUUGCUUUGCCUGAGGUCGACCUCCUCCUUCGCUGUCGCAUGAGCCGCCUCAUCUCUGCUUUGUCUGCAGUAAUACAGAGUUAGGCAAAAGAGACAAGUCAAAGUGGGCAAAGUGCUGGAAAAAAAUGACCCGAAGGGUCCUUCUCAGCCGCCCGGUCCAGCGCUUUAAGCCGUCACCUCUGUCAUCAUUGCUGCAACCCUACGGCUGAUAAUUUUCGAUCAAACAUAUCAGGUGAAAUCCAUCUUGUCAAGUUUCUGUUGAUACAUUUUUUCGAGAACAAUUACUCUCGUUUGUGCAAAAUCUUAUGCAGAAUUCAUAAUGGCAA
RNAcentral lists this long non-coding RNA (2834 nucleotides) under Triticum aestivum (bread wheat). RNAcentral describes it as "long non-coding RNA (TAES_LNC018104)". Lineage: Eukaryota; Viridiplantae; Streptophyta; Magnoliopsida; Poales; Poaceae. The record is from RNAcentral.